UCUGGUUGAUCCUGCCAGUAGUCAUAUGCUUGUCUCAAAGAUUAAGCCAUGCAUGUCUAAGUAUAAAUAGUAUACAGUGAAACUGCGAAUGGCUCAUUAAAACAGUUAUAGUUUAUUUGAUAAUUGACAAUUACAUGGAUAACCGUGGUAAUUCUAGAGCUAAUACAUGCUUAAACGCCCGACUUUAUGGAAGGGUGGUAUUUAUUAGACUGAAGCCAAUAUUCCUUGUGUCUAUUGCGGUGAUUCAUAAUAACUGAUCGAAUCUCUUUUUGAGAUAAAUCAUUCAAGUUUCUGCCCUAUCAGCUUUCGAUGGUAGUGUAUUGGACUACCAUGGCAGUAACGGGUAACGAAGAAUUAGGGUUCGAUUUCGGAGAGGGAGCAUGAGAAACGGCUACCACAUCUAAGGAAGGCAGCAGGCGCGUAAAUUACCCAAUCCUGACUCAGGGAGGUAGUGACAAGAAAUAGCAAACCGGGAACCUCAUGGUUUCACGGUAUUGCAAUGAGAACAAUUUAAAACCCUUAGCGAGAAUCAAGUGGAGGACAAGUCUGGUGCCGGCACCCGCGGUAAUUCCAGCUCCACUAGCGUAUAUUAAAGUUGUUGCAGUUAAAAAGCUCGUAGUUGAACCUCUGUCUGGGGUUAGUUUUGGCUCUGGUCAGGCUAGUUCUAGGCAUCCGCCUACAAGACUUAGAGGGCAUUCAGUUGUUCACUAGGAGGAGUAGGCAUUUUACUUUGAAAAAAUUAGAGUGUUUAAGGCAGGCAAACGCCCGCAUAUAUUAGCAUGGAAUAAUAGAAUAGGACACUUUUCCAUUUCGUUGGUUAUUGGAAUCGUGUAAUGAUUAAUAGGGACAGUUGAGGGCAUUUGUAUUUAAUUGUCAGAGGUGAAAUUCUUGGAUUUAUUAAAGACAAACUAACGCGAAAGCAUUUGCCAAGGAUGUUUUCAUUAAUCAAGAACGAAAGUUAGGGGAUCAAAGACGAUCAGAUACCGUACUAGUCUUAACUAUAAACUAUCCCGACUCAAUGUUUGACUGGCUUAUAUAACCAGUUGAGCGUUGUAUGAGAAAUCAAAGUCUUUAGGUUCUGGGGGGAGUAUGGUUGCAAAGCUGAAACUUAAAGGAAUUGACGGAAGAGCACAACCAGGAGUGGAUUCUGCGGCUUAAUUUGACUCAACACGGGGAAACUUACCAGGUUAAAACAAUAGUGGGAUUGACAGUUUGAGAGCGCUUUCUUGAUUGGUUGGGUGGUGGUGCAUGGCCGUUCUUAGUUGGUGGAGUGAUUUGUCUGCUUAAUUGCGUUAACGAACGAGACCUUAACCUGCUUACUAGACUGGCGAUCAUCAAUCGUUAGCUCUUCUUAGAGGGACUUUGGUUGUUUUAACUCCA
Molecule: ribosomal RNA, 1380 nt
Filed under: metagenome
Description: SSU rRNA
Rfam family: Eukaryotic small subunit ribosomal RNA
Source: RNAcentral